AGGGUUUGAUCAUGGCUCAGGAUGAACGCUGGCGGCGUGCCUAAUACAUGCAAGUAGAACGCUGAAGGAAGGAGCUUGCUCUUUCCGGAUGAGUUGCGAACGGGUGAGUAACGCGUAGGUAACCUGCCUGGUAGCGGGGGAUAACUAUUGGAAACGAUAGCUAAUACCGCAUAACAACAGUUGUUGCAUGACAGCUGUUUAAAAGGUGCAAAUGCACCACUACCAGAUGGACCUGCGUUGUAUUAGCUAGUUGGUGAGGUAACGGCUCACCAAGGCGACGAUACAUAGCCGACCUGAGAGGGUGAUCGGCCACACUGGGACUGAGACACGGCCCAG
This 336-nucleotide ribosomal RNA is filed under the name uncultured bacterium. Its description in RNAcentral is "bacterial SSU rRNA". It matches the Rfam family "Bacterial small subunit ribosomal RNA", at positions 8 to 334 of the family's 1533-position model. The record is from RNAcentral.